Molecule: ribosomal RNA, 460 nt
Filed under: uncultured bacterium
Lineage: Bacteria
Description: partial 16S ribosomal RNA
Rfam family: Bacterial small subunit ribosomal RNA
Source: RNAcentral
ACUACGGGUGGCAGCAGUGAGGAAUAUUGGUCAAUGACCGGAAGGCUGAACCAGCCAUGCCGCGUGAAGGUCAGUGCCCUAUGGGCGUUAAACUUCUUUUGUGCGGGAGCAAUAAUGGUCACGUGUGGCCAGACGAGAGUACCGUACGAAUAAGCAUCGGCUAACUCCGUGCCAGCAGCCGCGGUAAUACGGGGGAUGCAAGCGUUAUCCGGCUUAAUUGGGUUUAAAGGGUGCGUAGGCUGUGAGGUAAGUCAGCGGUGAAAUGCCCCCGCUCAACGGGGUGAAGUGCCAUUGAUACUGCCUUGCUGGAAUGCGGAUGCCGUGGGAGGAAGGUGUGGUGUAGCGGUGAAAUGCAUAGAUAUCACACAGAACACCGAUUGCGAAGGCAUCUCACGAAUCCGCGAUUGACGCUGAUGCACGAAAGCGUGGGUAUCAAACAGGAUUAGAUACCCCGGUAGUC